GCCUGGGUGGCUCAGUCGGUUGAGCGUCCGACUUCAGCUCAGGUCAGAAUCUCGCAGUUCAUGAGUUCGAGCCCCAUGUCGGGCU
Molecule: transfer RNA, 85 nt
Filed under: Felis catus (domestic cat)
Lineage: Eukaryota; Metazoa; Chordata; Mammalia; Carnivora; Felidae
Rfam family: tRNA
About the family: Transfer RNA (tRNA) molecules are approximately 80 nucleotides in length.
Source: Rfam by way of RNAcentral